Molecule: unclassified non-coding RNA, 207 nt
Filed under: Hevea brasiliensis (rubber tree)
Lineage: Eukaryota; Viridiplantae; Streptophyta; Magnoliopsida; Malpighiales; Euphorbiaceae
Source: RNAcentral
GAAUUUUUGAGGGAGGUUGCAAUAAUGAAACGCCUACGACAUCCAAAUAUAGUUCUUUUCAUGGGUGCAGUUACUCAGCGCCCAAACUUAUCCAUAGUGACAGAAUAUUUAUCAAGAGGUAGCUUGUUUAGGCUCUUGCAUAAGUCUGGUGCAAAAGAGGCAUUGGAUGAAAGGCGUCGGUUAAGUAUGGCUUAUGAUGUGGCAAAG